GGAAUCUUAGACAAUGGGCGCAAGCCUGAUCCAGCCAUGCCGCGUGAAUGAUGAAGGCCUUAGGGUUGUAAAAUUCUUUCGCCCGGGAAGAUAAUGACUGUACCUGGAGCAGAAGCCCCGGCUAACUCCGUGCCAGCAGCCGCGGUAAUACGGAGGGGGCUAGCGUGGUUCGGAAUUACUGGGCGUAAAGCGGGUGUAGGCGGAUCUCUAAGUCGGGGGUGAAAGCCCAGGGCUCAACCCUGGAAUUGCCUUCGAUACUGGAGAUCUCGAGUCUAGGAGAGGUGAGCGGAAUUCCGGGGGUAGAGGUGAAAUUCGUAGAUAUUCGGAGGAACACCAGAGGCGAAGGCGGCUCACUGGACUAGUACUGACGCUGAGACCCGAAAGCGUGGGGAGCAAAC
RNAcentral lists this ribosomal RNA (398 nucleotides) under uncultured bacterium. RNAcentral describes it as "bacterial SSU rRNA". It matches the Rfam family "Bacterial small subunit ribosomal RNA", at positions 358 to 773 of the family's 1533-position model. The record is from RNAcentral.